GUGCUACGAUGGAUAAGCGUAUCUCGCGCGUAUCCCGGCAUAUCACCCCUAGUGCAGUAUCCUGCACCGAUACGACACUUCUACGACAUAUCCCUGCAACAUAAUUGGUGUUGUUUCAGAACAUAUGAUUCAAGAGUCAAAUUUAUCGAUCUUUGGCAUUAAUUCUGGACGUGUGUUCAAGGCAGUGACUGGUGUUGUGCAUGUAGGGGUUGUCUGUUUAUGCAUCCUUCCCUAUCAUACCAUUAAAUCUAAGUAGCAGGCAAGACAUAGAUAAUAAAAAAAAACUCUACAGAACAAAGAGGCUACUAAAUCCAUAGUUCUAGGUUGGUCAAUUAUCUUGAUGCUUUUUGGGUGAGGUAGCAUUGGAUAAAUUCAGAUGUUUAGUGGUGGUUACCCAACACACAGGUACGUAGGAGGUUCAGCCUUAACUCAUGGGGUAAUUUGAAGUCCAAGUCACGGUCACAUACCUAGCCUCGUCUGACUCCACAUACAGCACCGUGUUGGCCAUGUCCUCCACCCCCAGCACCGUGCCAUCGAGUUUCAUGGUCAUGUAUUCC
Molecule: long non-coding RNA, 557 nt
Filed under: Hordeum vulgare
Lineage: Eukaryota; Viridiplantae; Streptophyta; Magnoliopsida; Poales; Poaceae
Description: long non-coding RNA (HVUL_LNC009966)
Source: RNAcentral